GGCUCCAUAGCUCAGUGGUUAGAGCACUGGUCUUGUAAACAAGGGUUCAUAAGUUCAAUCCUCAAUGGGGCCU
Non-coding RNA from Ameiurus melas (black bullhead), 73 nucleotides. NCBI's taxonomy places the organism in Eukaryota, Metazoa, Chordata, Actinopteri, Siluriformes, Ictaluridae. The record is from the annotation of a GenBank genome assembly.